UUCCAGAGGUGAGCCUAAAAUGAGCCCUUGU
This 31-nucleotide non-coding RNA is filed under the name Homo sapiens (human). The record is from RNAcentral. Lineage: Eukaryota; Metazoa; Chordata; Mammalia; Primates; Hominidae.